Molecule: ribosomal RNA, 249 nt
Filed under: uncultured bacterium
Lineage: Bacteria
Description: partial 16S ribosomal RNA
Rfam family: Bacterial small subunit ribosomal RNA
Source: RNAcentral
UGAGUAACACGUAUGCAACCUGCCUGCCACAGCCGGAUAAUCGGGAGAAAUUCCGUCUAGUACGGCAUAAUGCAUCGACGGGACAUCCUGUUGGUGCCAAAGGUUAAUUCCGGUGGCGGAUGGGCAUGCGUCGCAUUAGUUAGUUGGCGGUGUAACGGACCACCAAGACGACGAUGCGUAGGGGUUCUGAGAGGAAGGUCCCCCACACUGGUACUGAGACACGGACCAGACUCCUACGGAAGGCAGCAG